UCAGAAUCAUUGUUAGGGUAUUGUAGUACCCCCACAGUAGAAAUAUUAUGUAAGAUUGUAUCCAUAUUACAACCCAUAAAAGUUCUAACCAAUUCAGUUCGUAGGAUGUCUGCCCAAAAUAUAUCAUUGACAAACAUCAGCGAAACUGAUAAUAUCCUAGACUUGUUCAAAAAAACUUCAUUUGCUGCUUCUUUGGCCAAUGCAUUAGCUACCCUGUUCUGCUUCUGAUAGGUGUGCUUCACUACCACCCUGUCCAUCGUGCAUAUUAAUUACCUGCAUUCAGAAAUUAAGGGGUCAUAAAUAAGACUUUAUUUCAUUAACAUAUUGAUAAUUUCAGAAGAGUCAGUAUUGAUCUCAAGAGGAACCAUGUUAUUUUGUUUCGCGAGUUGUAGUCCCUUUAGAAGUGCCUUCAAUUCUGCCAUAGUGUUUGUUGUGUGGGGGAUGUUAUCCAUAUACCCAAUUAUCUAGUCUCCGUUGUGAUUUCUAAAUACGCAUCCUGAUCCUCAUAUCCCUGGAUUCUCUUUUGUUGCUCUAUCCGUGUUCAGCUUAUAGAAGCCUCUUCUUGGUGGCUCCCAUUUUGUUAUGAUUUGAUGUGUUAUUUUGUUGGAGCCAUUUUUUGUUAGCACAAAGUAUUCAGUAGCUUUGGAGAUUGUGUUUGAAGAGUUUAUGUGCUCCUUUUUGUCAUUGAAUAAAUUUUUGUUUUUUGUUAGCCAGAUGUGCCGGAAACAGAAGGGAAUGAUGUUGUCCCAUAUGAUAUUGCAAUUGAAAGGCAAAUUCCUGAUUGAAUUCCAUGUUGAUGGCCACUGAUGGUCAUUGAAGCCUGGACUUUGCUGUCUAUUAUCACGUAUAGAUUUGGACAGUAUUUCAUUUCAGAAGUGGACAACAUUAGGGCACUAAAAGAAGAUAUGGUCAAUAGUUUCUUGGCCACUGUUGCAGUAAGAACAUUGGGGAUCACAGUUGAUCCCUAUUCUAUGGAGGUAACUCUUAGUGGGAAGUCUCUUAUGGGUGAGGAGCUAGAUGAAAUUCUUAAUUUUGUUGAGAGUUUGUAGUUUCCAAACUCAUUUGAAGGAACCUUCCUCAUUAGUAUGAAGACUGGUGUCACUCUUGCUUAGGAAAGAGUAUGCAGAACUAUUUGUGAAGUGGCCAGUCGGGUUAAGUUCCAUAUGAGGGUGUCUUCCUUUUUUGGAGUUGGGGAAAUAAAAAUUGAGUUUAACAGAUUCAGGAUACUUGGGGGGAGAGCAAUAGACAGUGAGGAUGUGUCCCAAGUCCCUAGAUUGUAGAUUGAGUUAACCUUAGCAUUGAGGUUGUUUUGGGUUAAAGGGCCCUCAAUAAAAUCUCUAAUUGCUAGCUGAUUGGGAAUCCAUACAUCAUUUAGGAAGCUGCCCUGUUUCCCUUGUGAACUACCCAUCUGCUUGCUUUGCAGCAAAUAUCCCAACCCCUUAAGAUGCACUACCAGGUGGAUGAUUUUGGAUGCCUAGGAUAUCUAGAGGCUCUAACUAUCCUAGCUUUGUUGGUCAUGUUGCAGUGCUUAUGGAUUAGUACUCUUGCCUAUAGACUGUUGGUAUUUUUGAAAGUCCUCUGGGCAAGAUUUGUGAGAGAGGCUUUGUUCUUAAGAUUAGCCUUUUGGAGUCCUAGUCCUCCAUCAGUCUUUCUCUUAGUGACCACAUCCCACCUGAUUAGGUGGAGCUUCUUCUUUUCAGGAGUGGUGCCCCAAAGAAAGUUCCUUUGGAUUUUGUCAAUCUAUUUGGUAAAUUUAGUGGGCAGGUUGAUGUACUACAUGACAUGACUACGAAUGCUGUUUAAAGAAGUUUUAGCCAACACAGUUCUGCCAGUCAUGUUUAGGCAGCUUGUUUUCCAACCAGCCAGCUUGUAUUGCAUAUUAUCAAUGAUGAAUUGAAAGUCUGCACUGGUUUGAUUUUUAUGAAAAAUGGGGAAACCAAGGUAUUUUCCAAAGGAGGAGGUGGGUUGGAUGAAUAGAGAGUUGGUGAGAUUCUGUAUGGAUUCCUGUGGAGUAUUUGGGGAAAAGAGGAUCCUUGACUUAGCGAGAUUUAUUUUCUGACCUGAUUGUUCAUUGAAGUUCUUCAUAAUGGAAAGGAUAAUGUUAUAGUUCCUGUCAUUUGCUUUAGCAAAGAGGGUUAGGUCAUCUACGAAAAAAGAUGGGAUAUUUUAGGUCCAGAUCUGCUUAUACUUAUGGGUUGCCACUGAUUAUCCAGAACAACCUUGUCAAUUGAUCUUGAUAAUCUUUUCAUACACAUUAUGAAGAGGUAAAGAGACAUUGGGUCUCCUUGCCUGAUGCCUCUUGAAGGUUUGAAGGAUUCAGGUUUUCCACCAUUGACAAGAAUGGAGAUGAAGGAGAAACUGAUGCAGGACAUAAUGAGUUUGGAUAAACCUUGAGGGAAGUUGAAAGUAGAAAGAGUGUCUCUAAUAAAAGACCACUCUAGCCUGUCAAAGGACUUCUCCAGAUCAAUUUUGAGGAUCAUAUUGUCAUGUUUCCCUUUCAUUCUUCUAAAGUAUGUGAUGUACUUUUGGACAAUGAUGACAUUAUCACAAGCUCUCCUAUUGGAUAGGAAACUGGCUUGACUAGGCCCAAUGAUGUGAGGCAAGAUAGGCUUUAUUUUGUACACUAUAAUUUUUGUGAUGGACUUGUAUAUUGUGUUACACAGUCCAAUUGGCCUAAAACUUUUCAACAUUGAAGUUUGGGGGCAUUUUGGGAUGAUGCACAACAGAGUAUGGUUCAUGGUUUCAUCCAUAGAACUUGAAGAAAAACAUUUUUUACAGAACUCUGUGAUAGAGUCACCAACUAUGUCCCAAUAUUUUUGGUAGAAGAAGGGGUGGAGAUCAUCAGGUUCAGGAGAUUUGAAAGGUUUGUAGGAGAAGACUGCCCUUUUUAUCUCACUCAACUCUAGAGGUCUGUCUAAGAAAGCUCUUUGGGCAUCAGACAGAAUGGGAUACAUAGUGUAGUGGUUGGUGAAGGCCCUAUGGGCUUGGGAGUGGGAUGUGGUAUAUAGAUUAGUGAAGAAGCCCAUAAUGGCUGCUUGGAUAUCCUUCUGGUCGUGGAGCCUAGGGCUGGGCAUAUAUCGGGUAAAACCGAUAAUCCCAACCGUUAAUUAUUUAUUGGGUUAUCGGUAUUGGGUUAACGGUUUAGAAUUUUUUCACUAUUGGGUUAUCGGUUAGGGCCUCGAUUUGCCAAUUUUUUUAAUGGGUUAGCCGAUAACCCAAUAAGAAUUAAUAAAAUUACGACUUUACCCUUAAGUAUAUAUAUGCCAGUGCUUCUGUUCAUUAUCUCCUAUUCUUUCUCAGCCGCACUCUUUAUUCGCUUCAUCUUUAUUUUCAUAGAUCUUACUAGUUACUCAUACCGUAAGUCUUUAGUCUUAUACAUUAUGGUUCUAAUUUCUAUAACAAAAUUCAUCUUCAUAUAGGGCUUGCUCUAUGGUUUCUUUUUUCAGGUUAGGCAUUUGACAAACAACAUCCAGUUUAUCUUGGACCGUUUGAGGGCUUCAAUGCUUGUGGAAGUGCAGGUAUUUGUGUGAAAUAAAAAUUCUAAAUCAACUAUUGUUGUUAUCAUAUCGGAGG
This 3573-nucleotide long non-coding RNA is filed under the name Nicotiana tabacum (common tobacco). RNAcentral describes it as "long non-coding RNA (NTAB_LNC015696)". The record is from RNAcentral. Lineage: Eukaryota; Viridiplantae; Streptophyta; Magnoliopsida; Solanales; Solanaceae.